Molecule: long non-coding RNA, 339 nt
Filed under: Androctonus crassicauda
Lineage: Eukaryota; Metazoa; Arthropoda; Arachnida; Scorpiones; Buthidae
Source: RNAcentral
AUAGCCUCUCCAUUUUGAGGGAGGGAAACUUGCGGAAUCUUUUUUUUUUUUUUUUUUUUUUAAAGAAAGGCAGCCAAGGUAGUGACCUAAAAAUAGUCCCCAGACCUAUGAGUGUUGGCCUGUGAGGCUAAAGCACACACUGUUCAGCUGUAUGGCUUUGACCCUGGGUGGCCAGGGAGGUCAGCUUGACCCUGCCAUGUUGGUUUGAUGUGUGAAGUCACUGGGAUCAUUGUUUUUGUGACCAGGCUCUCAGCACCAUGGGCAGAAUAUUAAGUGAGAGAGUAUUUCUAUCCUGAUUAUUGACACACGAGAGACCAAAAGAAAUUUUGUGAACUUAGC